RNAcentral lists this ribosomal RNA (261 nucleotides) under uncultured archaeon. Its description in RNAcentral is "partial 16S ribosomal RNA". It matches the Rfam family "Archaeal small subunit ribosomal RNA", at positions 748 to 1009 of the family's 1478-position model. The record is from RNAcentral.
AGGGUGUAAACGCUGCGGGCUUGGUGUUGGGGGUCCUUUGAGGGCGCCCAGUGCCGGAGAGAAGUUGUUAAGCCUGCUGCUUGGGGAGUACGUCCGCAAGGAUGAAACUUAAAGGAAUUGGCGGGGGAGCACCGCAACGGGAGGAGCGUGCGGUUCGAUUGGAUUCAACGCCGGAAAUCUUACCGGGACCGACAGCAACAUGACGGCCAAGCUGAAGACUUUGCCGGAUUAGCUGAGAGGAGGUGCAUGGCGUAGUCGUGU